RNAcentral lists this ribosomal RNA (254 nucleotides) under uncultured bacterium. Its description in RNAcentral is "partial 16S ribosomal RNA". It matches the Rfam family "Bacterial small subunit ribosomal RNA", at positions 524 to 776 of the family's 1533-position model. The record is from RNAcentral.
UACGUAGGGUGCGAGCGUUGUCCGGAAUUAUUGGGCGUAAAGAGCUCGUAGGCGGUGUGUCGCGUCGGCCGUGAAAACCUGGGGCUUGGCUCUGGGCGUGCGGUCGAUACGGGCAUCACUAGAGUUCGGCAGGGGAGACUGGAAUUCCUGGUGUAGCGGUGAAAUGCGCAGAUAUCAGGAGGAACACCGGUGGCGAAGGCGGGUCUCUGGGCCGAUACUGACGCUGAGGAGCGAAAGCAUGGGUAGCGAACAGG